GGGGGGCUAGGAUGAAAUUUGAAAAAAAUAAGGCAGGACAGGAGAGAAUGAUUUGAGUAAUAAAAGGCAGGGAGACAAUUGCCAAAAAAAAAGUCGGGACGACAAUUUAGGUAAAAAAAAGUCAGGAUAAACUAAAAAAAAAAAAAAGCAGGACCAAACAGAGUGAAAAAUAAAAAGGCAGGACAGAGAUUACAGCUAAAAAAAAUGCAGGACAAAAUUUUUCAUCCUAGCCC
This 233-nucleotide long non-coding RNA is filed under the name Mytilus galloprovincialis (Mediterranean mussel). Lineage: Eukaryota; Metazoa; Mollusca; Bivalvia; Mytilida; Mytilidae. The record is from RNAcentral.